Molecule: non-coding RNA, 29 nt
Filed under: Mus musculus (house mouse)
Lineage: Eukaryota; Metazoa; Chordata; Mammalia; Rodentia; Muridae
Source: RNAcentral
AAGGUGGUUAUUGCCAGGCGCUUGCAGGA